AUGGUAACAUCUUUUCAGCUGAAAACUGCGUUGAAGCAAGUCCAACAGGGGGCUUUAACUGGAAUGACAUGUCUUGUCUUGUUAAAUGCCAGUCCAUAUGCCAAGCAAAGUGGACAGGUAGACGUCAGAAGAUUUACGACCUACCUGACUGCGGUGACCACGGGGGGAAGGGACACGGACAAUCCUGCUACGUUUACAGAUCCGACAAACUCACGUGGAAAGAAGCAAA
Molecule: long non-coding RNA, 229 nt
Organism: Haliotis rubra (blacklip abalone)
Lineage: Eukaryota; Metazoa; Mollusca; Gastropoda; Lepetellida; Haliotidae
Exons: 3
Source: RefSeq, a predicted model, not a curated record